AAAAUUGCGAUUGACUGAGUUCCACCUGUGUGGCUGACGGACAGAUCCAGUGAAACGAUGCUGGCUGCAUGUGACUGUUUUCUACGCUCUGAUCUCAUUUUAACGUGACGCUGAUGAUAGUGACCGGCUCGAUGAAUGGACUACUACCACGCUGUGAAAGUGAAAACUACUG
Long non-coding RNA from Etheostoma cragini (Arkansas darter), 172 nucleotides. RefSeq lists it as uncharacterized. Lineage: Eukaryota; Metazoa; Chordata; Actinopteri; Perciformes; Percidae. The record is from RefSeq and is a predicted model, not a curated record. The transcript is spliced from 3 exons.